Molecule: ribosomal RNA, 254 nt
Filed under: uncultured bacterium
Lineage: Bacteria
Description: partial 16S ribosomal RNA
Rfam family: Bacterial small subunit ribosomal RNA
Source: RNAcentral
UACGGAAGAUCCAAGCGUUAUCCGGAAUUACUGGGCGUAAAGAGUUGCGUAGGUGGCUUGUUAAGUUGGUAGUGAAAGCCUGUGGCUCAACCACAGACACAUUACCAAAACUGACAGGCUUGAGAAUGAGAGAGGUAGAUGGAAUUCCCAGUGUAGGAGUGAAAUCCGUAGAUAUUGGGAGGAACACCGAUGGCGUAGGCAGUCUACUGGCUCAUUUCUGACACUAAGGCACGAAAGCGUGGGGAGCGAACGGG